UUUUGUCUUUCCUCUUCCAUGGAGAACAGUAAAGAAGGGCAUCUAGGCCCAGUAAAUGCAAUGAAUCACAAUUGUCUGGCUGAUGCAGACUGUGCAUGAAAGACAAAUGGACCCUGGUGGUAUUCAAGGCGACUCUUAAAAAGAGCCAGGCAUUCACAACCCUGAAAACCUCAUAAUUAAAGUUGAAUGUGUAAACUGAAAUGAGCAUGUGAGAAGAACAACAGAUUAUUUUUCAGAUCUCUGUUCUCAGUGUAUAGGUGGGUGGUGUUCAGUUAAAUAGGUAGCACUGCCAACAUCUCAACAACUCCCCCAAAGUUCUCUUUUUGUGUUGGCUUUUGCCUUCUAUCAGACUUAAUGUUGUUGCUGGGAAAAAAAUAAAUCAUAGUUCAUUUAGUGUGUACUGGCCAUUCCUUAUUAAACUGGCAAUGGAGAAUCAGGC
This 439-nucleotide long non-coding RNA is filed under the name Marmota monax (woodchuck). Lineage: Eukaryota; Metazoa; Chordata; Mammalia; Rodentia; Sciuridae. The record is from RNAcentral.